This 489-nucleotide ribosomal RNA is filed under the name uncultured bacterium. Its description in RNAcentral is "partial 16S ribosomal RNA". It matches the Rfam family "Bacterial small subunit ribosomal RNA", at positions 30 to 507 of the family's 1533-position model. The record is from RNAcentral.
UUGAACGCUGGCGGCAGGCCUAACACAUGCAAGUCGAAUGGUAACAGGAAACAGCUUGCUGUUUCGCUGACGAGUGGCGGACGGGUGAGUAAUGUCUGGGAAACUGCCUGAUGGAGGGGGAUAACUACUGGAAACGGUAGCUAAUACCGCAUAACGUCGCAAGACCAAAGAGGGGGACCUUCGGGCCUCUUGCCGUCAGAUGUGCCCAGAUGGGAUUAGCUAGUAGGUGGGGUAACGGCUCACCUAGGCGACGAUCCCUAGCUGGUCUGAGAGGAUGACCAGCCACACUGGAACUGAGACACGGUCCAGACUCCUACGGGAGGCAGCAGUGGGGAAUAUUGCACAAUGGGCGCAAGCCUGAUGCAGCCAUGCCGCGUGUAUGAAGAAGGCCUUCGGGUUGUAAAGUACUUUCAGCGGGGAGGAAGGGAGUAAAGUUAAUACCUUUGCUCAUUGACGUUACCCGCAGAAGAAGCACCGGCUAACUCCGUG